CUGAGAGGACGACCAGCCACACUGGGACUGAGACACGGCCCAGACUCCUACGGGAGGCAGCAGUGGGGAAUUUUGGACAAUGGGCGCAAGCCUGAUCCAGCAAUGCCGCGUGAGUGAAGAAGGCCUUCGGGUUGUAAAGCUCUUUCAGUUGAGAAGAAAAGAUCGUGACUAAUAGUUGCGAUUCAUGACGGUAUCAACAGAAGAAGCACCGGCUAACUACGUGCCAGCAGCCGCGGUAAUACGUAGGGUGCGAGCGUUAAUCGGAAUUACUGGGCGUAAAGGGUGCGCAGGCGGUUUUGUAAGUCAGAUGUGAAAUCCCCGGGCUUAACCUGGGAAUUGCGUUUGAAACUACAAAGCUAGA
Molecule: ribosomal RNA, 361 nt
Filed under: uncultured Nitrosomonas sp.
Lineage: Bacteria; Pseudomonadati; Pseudomonadota; Betaproteobacteria; Nitrosomonadales; Nitrosomonadaceae
Description: bacterial SSU rRNA
Rfam family: Bacterial small subunit ribosomal RNA
Source: RNAcentral